This 342-nucleotide ribosomal RNA is filed under the name Carollia brevicauda. RNAcentral describes it as "partial 12S ribosomal RNA". It matches the Rfam family "Bacterial small subunit ribosomal RNA", at positions 536 to 989 of the family's 1533-position model. Lineage: Eukaryota; Metazoa; Chordata; Mammalia; Chiroptera; Phyllostomidae. The record is from RNAcentral.
AACCCUAAUCAAUAGACUUACGGCGUAAAACGUGUUUAAGAUUUUCCCCUCCCUUCUAAAGCUAAACUUUAGCCCUGCUGUAAAAAGCCCCAGCUACUGUAAGCCCUACCACGAAAGCAGCUUUAAAUCAUCUGAAUACACGACAGCUAAGGCCCAAACUGGGAUUAGAUACCCCACUAUGCUUAGCCCUAAACCUAAAGAAUCUACCAAACAAGAUUCUUCGCCAGAGAACUACUAGCCAAAGCCUAAAACUCAAGGGACUUGGCGGUGCUUUAUAUCCUUCUAGAGGAGCCUGUUCUAUAAUCGAUAAACCCCGAUAAACCUCACCAACCCUUGCCAACU